Molecule: long non-coding RNA, 1246 nt
Organism: Triplophysa rosa
Lineage: Eukaryota; Metazoa; Chordata; Actinopteri; Cypriniformes; Nemacheilidae
Exons: 3
Source: RefSeq, a predicted model, not a curated record
GUGGAUAUAGCCUGGACCCCGGGCUCUCCGUGGAUUACUAUCCCUGCGGGGAGGAAGCGCCAGGCGGCGAAGGGACAGAAGACAAAAGCAAGGCUGUCGAGCCGGCGUGACGGUUGAACCCAAACAUGCCACUGCUCCCUAGCAUUUUUCUUGCCAAUGCAAAAUCCCUUGCCAACAAAAUGGAUGAACUGAGGCUCCAGGCGGCAACAAACAGGCUCGUCAAGGACUGUUGUGUUUUGUUGAUCCCCGAGACAUGGCUACAUUCAACUAUACUGAACGAAGCUAUCGAGCUAGCUAGCCGGAAAGAGCAAAGGAGGGGGGUUAUGCAUAUACUGUAUGUUAACAACAGCUGGUGCACUAACUCUAGGAUUAUUGCUCCCCAGUUUUAGAGUACAUUACUGUUAAAUGCACACCCUUUAACCUACUUAGAGAGUUUACUGUCGUCAUGGUAUCCGCUCUGUACAUUCUGUCGGAUGCUAAUGCUAACUUAGCAUUGGGGCUUUUGCCAACAAAACAAAUAUCCUAACGCUGUGUAUAUUAUUGCCGGAGACUUUAACCAUGCCGAGUUAAAAACUGUGCUCCCUAAAUUCUACCAACAUGUACCAAAUGCACCACUAGAGGUGAGAAGACACUGGACAAGGUUUACUCAAAUAUCAAGCAUGGCUACAGGGCUAUACAGCUUCCACACCUGGGCCAGUCGGUCCAUAUGUCCCUGCUCUUAGCACCAGCAUACACCUCCCUCAGGAAACAGGCUCUUACCACAAUAAAAACUAUAAACUUGCCCUGAAGGUGCCUCUCACCAGCUCCAGGACUGUUUUGAAAGAACCAACUGGGACAUUUUUGAACACUCAGACCUGGUGGAGCACACAGCAGCUGUACUGUGCUUCUUUAAACACUGCACAGAGACUGUUACGGUGGACAGAUGUAUCAGGGUUUAUCCCAAUCAGAAACCCUGGAUGACCAGAGAUGUCCAGUACCUGCUGCGGGAGAGAAACACAGCCUUCAGGGAUGCUGUUGGGACACUCGUCUGCUGUGGGAUGAAGGAGAUAAUUCACUUUAGCUGGACUUCUGAUGUACACGCAGUUAGCAGCUGCAUCUUCAGAGACUGACAAGAUGUCAUAGUGAUGAUCGGGUUUUUUUGGCUCCAUCACUGUCACUGAUGAUGAUGGUAUCAGGACCGCCCAUAGAGCAGAUGUUCUUCAGACGAGAACCUCCAAACACCGGCACAGUGGACACGGCAAAAUCC